RNAcentral lists this ribosomal RNA (548 nucleotides) under uncultured bacterium. Its description in RNAcentral is "bacterial SSU rRNA". It matches the Rfam family "Bacterial small subunit ribosomal RNA", at positions 355 to 896 of the family's 1533-position model. The record is from RNAcentral.
UGGGGAAUUUUGGACAAUGGGCGCAAGCCUGAUCCAGCAAUGCCGCGUGAGGGAAGAAGGCCUUCGGGUUGUAAACCGCUUUUGUCAGGGAAGAAAUCUUCUGGGUUAAUACCUCGGGAGGAUGACGGUACCUGAAGAAUAAGCACCGGCUAACUACGUGCCAGCAGCCGCGGUAAUACGUAGGGUGCAAGCGUUAAUCGGAAUUACUGGGCGUAAAGCGUGCGCAGGCGGUUAUGCAAGACAGAUGUGAAAUCCCCGGGCUCAACCUGGGAACUGCAUUUGUGACUGCAUGGCUAGAGUGCGGCAGAGGGGGAUGGAAUUCCGCGUGUAGCAGUGAAAUGCGUAGAUAUGCGGAGGAACACCGAUGGCGAAGGCAAUCCCCUGGGCCUGCACUGACGCUCAUGCACGAAAGCGUGGGGAGCAAACAGGAUUAGAUACCCUGGUAGUCCACGCCCUAAACGAUGUCAACUGGUUGUUGGGAAGGUUCCUUCUCAGUAACGUAGCUAACGCGUGAAGUUGACCGCCUGGGGAGUACGGCCGCAAGGUUG